CCUACGGGGGGCUGCAGUAAGGAAUAUUGGACAAUGGCCGCAAGGCUGAUCCAGCCAUGCCGCGUGCAGGAAGAAGGCCCUAUGGGUCGUAAACUGCUUUUGAACUAGAGAAAACCCCCUUACGUGUAAGGGGCUGAUAGUAUAGUUAGAAUAAGCAUCGGCUAACUUCGUGCCAGCAGCCGCGGUAAGACGAAGGAUGCAAGCGUUAUCCGGAUUCAUUGGGUUUAAAGGGAGCGUAGGCGGACUGAUAAGUCAGUGGUGAAAUCUUUGGGCUUAACCCAGAAACUGCCAUUGAUACUGUUAGUCUAGAGUACAGUUGCCGUUGGCGGAAUAUGACAUGUAGUGGUGAAAUACUUAGAUAUGUCAUAGAACACCGAUUGCGAAGGCAGCUAACGAAGCUGUAACUGACGCUGAGGCUCGAAAGUGUGGGGAUCAAACAGGCUUAGAUACCCCGGUAGUC
This 460-nucleotide ribosomal RNA is filed under the name uncultured Bacteroidota bacterium. RNAcentral's name for it is "bacterial SSU rRNA". It matches the Rfam family "Bacterial small subunit ribosomal RNA", at positions 338 to 795 of the family's 1533-position model. The record is from RNAcentral. Lineage: Bacteria; Pseudomonadati; Bacteroidota.